UACGUAGGGUGCAAGCGUUAAUCGGAAUUACUGGGCGUAAAGCGUGCGCAGGCGGUUUUGUAAGACAGAGGUGAAAGCCCCGGGCUCAACCUGGGAACUGCAGGACGAACUGCUUGACUAGAGUAUAGUAGAGGAGUGUGGAAUUCCCGGUGUAGCGGUGAAAUGCGUAGAUAUCGGGAGGAACAUCAGUGGCGAAGGCGGCACUCUGGACUGAUACUGACACUGAGGUGCGAAAGCGUGGGUAGCGAACAGG
Molecule: ribosomal RNA, 253 nt
Filed under: uncultured Halomonadaceae bacterium
Lineage: Bacteria; Pseudomonadati; Pseudomonadota; Gammaproteobacteria; Oceanospirillales; Halomonadaceae
Description: partial 16S ribosomal RNA
Rfam family: Bacterial small subunit ribosomal RNA
Source: RNAcentral